Molecule: long non-coding RNA, 898 nt
Organism: Drosophila obscura
Lineage: Eukaryota; Metazoa; Arthropoda; Insecta; Diptera; Drosophilidae
Exons: 3
Source: RefSeq, a predicted model, not a curated record
CACAGUAACCUCCGACGAAAUGAGCAUCAAAUGAUCGGCAAAUCUCCGGCAGAUCGAAGCGGGCAUCGGACAUGGGGCUGCCUAAAUUACUUUCCCCCUUUUUUGGUAGCUGUCAAUCGGAUCGGAUGGUAUUGGAUCGGUAGAUGCCCGAGAUCUCUUUGUUAAGGCCAUGAUUAAUGAUGCAAAAUUAUGAACUCGCUUGUUCUCAGUGCCUCAGGGGCAGAGCCAGAGGCGGACUGACACUCGGUUCGCCCAUGUGUGAAAUUCGUUCAAUUGGUUUUCGAUGGAUGGUUUCCUUUGUGCCCCCAGAAUGGGGUCUCGUAUUCCCUAACCAUUUCACGGCUUCCCUAGUGAUCCCAGCAUUUGAUGUAAAGCGAAGUCGAGCCCCUAUUCUGAUCCCUCCAUUUAAUGCAAAGCGAAGUCGAGCCCCGCGAUCCACAGUAAUGACACCUUCCAUGUAUCGCUUACCACAAAACCGAAAUCAGCUCCCAGCUAUUUGUUCAGCCUGGGAAAAUCAACGAGUGGCAGAGAACACAGCCCCAAUUGCCCCAACGGCGCAACAUAGAUAAUCAAACUGAGUUGUAGUCAAAUGUGCCACAUAGAUGGAUGGAUUCGCCUGGUCCAUUGGUCCGUCUCAGUUCGGGCUUCAUGUGUGCCUCAGUCUGCGAGCUCAACUCUGGACCAUAAGUCAUCGGCAUUGAUAGCCAUCAAUCGCGAACCGCGAACCGCUUUCCACGGACCCAUGAACGUUGCUGGCAUGACCACAAAGCUGCCCAAAGUGGCGCGAAAUCUAAGUACAAUUAGUCGGGGGCUGAAGCUGGAGCUGUAUGUAGUUAUGGUGGAGAGGCAGGAGAUGGAAUGGUAUGGAUGCAGCUGGAUCUGAGGUUGUGGCAGAGAC